This 118-nucleotide ribosomal RNA is filed under the name Diaphorina citri (Asian citrus psyllid). Lineage: Eukaryota; Metazoa; Arthropoda; Insecta; Hemiptera; Psyllidae. The record is from RNAcentral.
GCCAGCGGCGAUAGCACGUUGAAUGCACCAGUUUCCAAUGGAUCACAUAGGUUAAGCAACGUUUCGGAUGGUUAGUAUCCGAAUGGGUGACCAUCUGGGAUACCAGGUGCUGAUGGUU